UGGGGAAUUUUGGACAAUGGGCGAAAGCCUGAUCCAGCAAUGCCGCGUGUGUGAAGAAGGCCUUCGGGUUGUAAAGCACUUUUGUCCGGAAAGAAAUCCUUGGCUCUAAUACAGUCGGGGGAUGACGGUACCGGAAGAAUAAGCACCGGCUAACUACGUGCCAGCAGCCGCGGUAAUACGUAGGGUGCAAGCGUUAAUCGGAAUUACUGGGCGUAAAGCGUGCGCAGGCGGUUUGCUAAGACCGAUGUGAAAUCCCCGGGCUCAACCUGGGAACUGCAUUGGUGACUGGCAGGCUAGAGUAUGGCAGAGGGGGGUAGAAUUCCACGUGUAGCAGUGAAAUGCGUAGAGAUGUGGAGGAAUACCGAUGGCGAAGGCAGCCCCCUGGGCCAAUACUGACGCUCAUGCACGAAAGCGUGGGGAGCAAACAGGAUUAGAUACCCUGGUAGUCCCACGCCCUAAACGAUGUCAACUAGUUGUUGGGGAUUCAUUUCCUUAGUAACGUAGCUAACGCGUGAAGUUGACCGCCUGGGGAGUACGGUCGCAAGAUUAAAACUCAAAGGAAUUGACGGGGUCAUAGCUG
This 580-nucleotide ribosomal RNA is filed under the name uncultured bacterium. Its description in RNAcentral is "partial 16S ribosomal RNA". It matches the Rfam family "Bacterial small subunit ribosomal RNA", at positions 355 to 932 of the family's 1533-position model. The record is from RNAcentral.